AAAAUAAUAUUGUUUAUGUUUCUGUUACGUUAUUUAAAAGUCUCCGAUAGAAAGCUCCAGAAAAUUUUUAACUAUCUUCAUGGAAUAGGAACAAAAUCAACUAAAUUACUUACUAAUAAUGGUAGUGGAAAAAGCACGAAAAAGUGUGUUAUCCCACAUCCCAAGUGUGCUCCUAAGGAACUCCAGCAGCAGGCGACUCUACGACCCAGAUGUGAAUCCGAACUUUUUUUGCUCUCUCGUUCUCGGAACACUGAUCUAACGGAAUACAGGAGCUCAGCUAAUCCACAGCCAGUGUAUCUGUUCUAAUAACAUAUGUAUAUUUUGGGAAAAGAUUUCCACUCAAUCAAAUAGGUAGUCACUAUGAAGUCUGCUACGAAACGGAAAUCCUGUUUGGUCUUUAUACGUCGGUUGAUUAUAUUUUAUAUCAUUGCUUCGCUGGAAGGACAAACAUUCGACGUUCGAGGGGACAGCACAACAAGUGUUUUCAAUAGUUGACGCGGAUAGAAUCCAAGUAUUGGACAACCAAAACAAUCAAUUGAAGAGAAUGCCUGACCAGCGGUCUGACCUAAAUCCGAUCCAUUGUCAUCUGUUGCCAGUUACGGAGUAUUUUCACAAGGAGUUUGAGAUUCGUUACCCUAUGCUUCGAACGAGGCUUCGAAUGCUACCCGAUAUGCCGAAUAUGUAUAUUGUUAAUACCCGAUGCUGCUAUUGAUGUGUUUCCACUCCGACCAUCAUGACUCGGUUCCAACAAAAGGCGCCCGAAACUGCACUGAGGAUUAUGUUGUUGAUCAUAUGUUAUUUAUCAGUGUUCAGGUGAUCAGAAUUUGAAAGAACACUAACUUCGCUUUGCUGUAUAGGACCGUCCCCUGCCACCAUAUUCCAUCAUGUUUGUGUAAACAACGAUGAUGUCAAUA
Molecule: long non-coding RNA, 914 nt
Organism: Armigeres subalbatus
Lineage: Eukaryota; Metazoa; Arthropoda; Insecta; Diptera; Culicidae
Exons: 4
Source: RefSeq, a predicted model, not a curated record